Acinonyx jubatus (cheetah) is the source of this 2607-nucleotide long non-coding RNA. RefSeq lists it as uncharacterized. Lineage: Eukaryota; Metazoa; Chordata; Mammalia; Carnivora; Felidae. The record is from RefSeq and is a predicted model, not a curated record. The transcript is spliced from 3 exons.
CCCACGGACCCUCUCACUCCUGAGCCCCCUCCCUCCCCUUCCACCGGGUUCUUGGUCUUUUCGGACAAAGUCCCGUUCUUACCUGACACCUGCAGCCAGAUUCGUCUCAAAAUAAGCUUCACAAAGGUGCUAAAAGAGAGGCAGUCAUCUGUGGCGGGACCCAGCUGCAUAUAGGAAACAGCUGCCUGCUGGGCUCGGUGUGUAAGAAAGGAAGAGAAGAAUCACGACGGAGUGUUUAAAAAUGAACAUAAAGCGUAUACUGGAGAGGGCAACAGAGGCCUGUAAUUAACCCAGUGCUAAGCGUCUGUGUUUCUGUGAACAGCUUCUUUUCCAGGACUUGUUGUAACUUGGGUAUAAAUAUUUGUUACAGACUGAAACCGAAGGCACGAGGCCGUAGCUGGAUGCUGUCUCCCCUCGUGUCUCUCUGCUUUCUAAGCAGGGAUUCUUAAUAAUGCAGAGAGAGCGAGGUAUUUUGGAUGCCCACGCCCACUCCCAAACGCAAGCCGCCGGGAGCAUCUGCACGAACGCAGACACCUACGCGCAUCACACAUGUGCCCGGGGCCCUUCCGCAGCUGCUCGGCGCUGGGUUCGGGGCAGAGGCCCGCGGAGUCCUGGGCAGAAGCAGCGGGAGGAGGCCCCGAGCCCGCCUGGAGCCUCUGGAACAGAAAUGUGGGGAGCCUUUGAAGUUACCACCGCUCAGGUGGACGCCCCCCAGAGCAGGCCUCAGAGGAAGACAUUCAUUUUCACACAAAGGGGAAAAUUCCUUGGGACCCUGGUGUUUCCACUAAAACAAACCUCUAAAAAGUUGUUCUCCGGGGGAUCAAGGACCAGCUGUUCUCCAUCUCCAUGAGGCUGUGAAGAGAGGAGGUGCAGCAGGAGAGAUGCGAGCUAGACAGAGGGGACGGGCGGCGAGGCGAGGAACAGCCCAUGGCACGGGGACCAGGAAGACAGCACGUGGUUUUCCAAACCGGUGUGGCUGCGUUCAGAGGAAGGAGGGUGCAGAGCACAGCAUUUCAAGAUCGGUGCUGGGUUCACGGAGGAAAUAGCGACCCAUGGGGCGCCUGGGUGGCUCAGUGGGUUGGGCAUCCGACUCCAGCUCAGGUCGUGAUCUCACAGUCCGUGGGUUCGAGCCCCGCGUCUGCUCUGGGCUGACAGCUCGGAGGCUGGAGCCUGCUUCGGAUUCUGUGUCUCCUUCCCUCUCUGUCCCUCCCCCACUUGUGCUCUGUCUCUGUCUCUCAAAAAUAAAUAAAUGUAAAAAAAAAAAAGAAAAGAAGAAGAAGAAAAGAGCAACCCAUUGCUCUUUGUCAUGGUGCUGAGAUCGCUGGGGAGCAUACACCCUGAACUCACAGAUGGAGAGCGCUGACAGCCCUGAGCAGGUCUCCACCCACACCCAGAUCUUCCACAGAGGCUGGACGAUCGAGUGUCCUGCUGUAGAUGAAGCUUGUCUUGGCUUUAUGCUGGUUCACCCCACCAAGGAGAUGAGGCUCUUGACAUUCAAUGCGUCUAAGAAGAUUUUCCAAAGCUCACCAAACCAAUGACAGAAUUGGAUUCAAAUUCCGGAUGGCGGGCCCCAAUACCCGUGCUUCGCAAGCUCUUCCGCACUUAUUUCGGCAGCACCGGCGACUUUGGUCCAACGCGUUCUUUCCGUUCUCGUCGCGUUCUGACUUCUGCUCAUGCCUGUGUAUCCAGGCCCAGGAUCUGGAGCUGCAGAGGCUCAAGAGGCCUGCCCAGUGGAGUUCAUACUUGUUUAUGGGAGGCGGUGAGGCAGCUGGGGAGGGGCGAGGAUGAGCCUGUUCGGUUAGUGGUCAAUUCUGGACCCCGAGCCCCUCUUCUGUGACCACAGCGGAGUCGCCCUGAAACACACAGCACACCAAAGAGCCUUCUGUCUGCAGGCUCUGUUCUAGUCACAGAAGAGACAGAAGGAGACAGACCUGUGUGCCCCCCACCAUGUGUUUGAAAAUAAAGCGUAUCGAUAGAAAAGUUGAGGUACGGUAAGGGGGACAAGACCAGGAGGUGACUGCCGUCGAAAAGAUUGUCGUUCAUCGUUUCCAAGAGAAAGGGGCACACAGGGAAGCCCCAGUGUUGGUCAGAGGGCGGAGGGAUUAAGGGGGAAAUGUGUGGGAGAGCCUUUAUUGUGAUUUCCCUGGGAAGGAACAGGCAAGGUGGGAUUGACAGAUUUAACAUUGGCUAGUUUGAAUACUCUCUGGUGUAGAAACUGUCCCAAGUAGCCGGGUACCCGGUCCUGGGUAUUUAGGGCAGCGAGUAGUGGCCCAGAGUGUGAGAGCCUGUAGAGGAGGUGUCUGGGGGUGGGCUCUGGAUUGCUUGAUUUGGAAAGUGUGCCUGUAGGUGAAUCCUUUAUUAGCGCUAGGUAUCCAUUGACCUUGGGAGGGGCAGUCACUGCAAAGUCAACAAAGCUCCAGAUGUCACCAGAAUACAGAAAAUAAAAGCUAUGUUACUCAACGCGACCAGGAAUUGGGGCUGUGGAUGGGGGUUUGGCCAGCCACUGAACAGCGUCCAUCCACUCUAGUAUAUGUGGUUUUGGUCCAACAAGUGUGUUUUUAUAAGGAAAUAAGUGGGCAGAUGAGCCGGGAUAGGUGUACGGGGUCC